Molecule: long non-coding RNA, 17957 nt
Filed under: Xyrichtys novacula (pearly razorfish)
Lineage: Eukaryota; Metazoa; Chordata; Actinopteri; Labriformes; Labridae
Source: RNAcentral
UUCCUGAUGGAUUCUUCUUUUGUUAUUAGGGCCCGAGCCAGCUGCAGAGCAGCCGGGCGUAGAGCCCUAUUAUUCCUGUAUAGGUUUUUCUUUCUUCUUUCUUUCUUUCUUUCUUCUUAUUUUUCCUCCCCUUUGAAGGGGAAAAUGGCCCACUUCCCACUGGCGAAAACUCAGGAAAUUUGGCAGGACGACCGGGCCUGGUGAAAAAUUCGAUAUUCUGAAGUCGCCCAAACAAUAAAAUGCAAAAUGGCUCCAUAGCGCCCCCUAAGGUGAAAAUUCACACUAUUGACUGUCACGCCUGUACGCUUUGUCAUAUUGACACAAAAAUUGACACACACAUGUAUCUCAAUAAGAUCUACAAAAAAGUCAGUGCGGGCGUAUCUGUCAAAUGUACGGUUAAAGGGUUAUUUCGCAUUUUUUGCAGAUCCGCACACAUUGGAAUUUCGCUAACUCCUCCGAAGGCUUUCGUUCCACCGGCACCACAUUUGCUCAGGCCAAUCUACACUCCAUGGCCAUUCAAAGUUGUACAAAUCAUGAUGCUGCACUCCAUGGUUUAGGUUCUAGGGGGCGCCAAAAAUAACCCAAAAAUCCACAUUCUUAAAAGUUUUAUAACUUUUUUUUUUUGUCCUCACUGGCCUCCAAGUUUUCUAGGAUGAUGCAAUGUCCAGCCAUCAACACAUUUGUAAAGGAAUUUUUACUCCCCAAAAGAGCGCCCCCCCAUGGCAGGACAAAAGAUCAAUUUUUUCUUGUCCCCUAAGGUGAAAAUACACAUUGUUGAGAUUCACGCCUGUAUGCUUUGUCAAAAUGACACAAAAUUUGACACACACGUGUAUCUCAAUAAGAUCUACGAAAAAGUCAAUGCGCGCGUAUCUGUAAAAUGUACGGCUAAACGGCUAUUUUGCAUUUUUUGCCGAUUCGCACACAUUGGAAUGUGGCUAACUCCUCCUAAGGCUUCCGUCCCACUGACACCAAAUUUGCUCAGGCCAAUCUACACCCCAUGGCCAGUCAAAGUUGUAAAAAUCAUGCCGCUGCACCCCAUGGUUUACGUUCUAGGGGGCGCCAAAGAUGACCCAAAUAUCCACAUUCUUAAAAGUCGUUUUGGCCACUGCAGGAGUACAGAGUACUGCAGGAUACACACACACAGACACACACACACACAGACACACACACACACACACGCACACACACACACACACACACACAUACACACUCAGAGUCUGUUUUUUAGCACCUGCAAAAACAUGCUAUUUACAUAUUUGACAACAAUGCAGAGACUUCCUUUUGCCCCUGAAAAAAAUGAAAUUUCAAACACAACUUGACUGCUCAUUUCUCCAAAAGACAUCCAUGAAGCUCCAUCCAAACCUGAAGCAGGCAGUUGGUGCAUGUGUACAGUAACCUGAGGGGAGUGAGGUGACUGCUUCUGAGGAGAACAUGAGCAGUGAAGAUUCACCUUGGAGCUAGAACAGGGACGUGCACAUGAUUAUACAGGGGCAGGGGCUCAAGUUUUUUCCAGUCGUUUAGACAAUAUGGAAAUUAAUGUGAAAUUAAAAAACAAAGUAUUAAUAGAAAGGUAAUGACUGUCCUGUGUAGGUGACAGUGAUAUCCAAUAGGCUAGGCACUCACGAGGCUGGCUGUGGCAAGUGCAAGUGAAAGCCACACGCACUGGCAGGAAGAACGCCGAUGAAGGAAAAGGGUCUUCGCAGUGAUGGGCGUUACCAGAGAGGGCGAUGGCCAGAGGACGCGAAUGGGACGGGGAGGCAGCGCGUUGGGGGGGGGGGCGCGACACAGCUCGGGCCCGCCAGUGCCCCAACGGGGCCCUAGUUUGUUAUUAGGGCCCGAGCGUAGCUGCUAAGCAGCUGCGAGAGCCCUCUUGUUCCUGAUGGAUUCUUCUUUCGUUAUUAGGGCCCGAGCGUAGCUGCUAAGCAGCUGCGAGAGCCCUAUUAUUCCCCAAGUGGUUUUUCUUUGUUUCUUUUUAGGGCCCGAGCGUAGCUGCUAAGCAGCUGCGAGAGCCCUCUUGUUCCUGAUGGAUUCUUCUUUUGUUAUUAUUAGGGCCCGAGCGUAGCUGCUCAGCAGCUGCGAGAGCCCUCUUGUUCCUGAUGGAUUCUUCUUUCGUUAUUUUUCCUCCGCUUUAAACUGGAAAAUGGCCCACUUCCCACUGACGAAAACUCAGGAAAUUUGGCAGGACGACCGGGCCUGGUGAAAAAUUUGAUAUUCUGAAGUCGCCCAAACAAAAAAAUGAAAAAUGGCUCCAUAGCGCCCCCUAUGGUGAAAACUCACCUGACACCUGUACGCUUUGUCAAAAUGACACAAAAUUUGACACACAUGUGUAUCUCAAUAAGAUCUAUGAAAAAGUCAACGGGCACGUAAGUGUAAAAUGUACUGUUAAAGGGCUAUUUUGCAUUUUUUGCCGAUUCGCACACAUUGGAAUUUUGCUAACUCCUCCUAAGGCUUUCGUUCCACCGGCACCACAUUUGCACAGGCCAAUCUACACCCCAUGGCCAUUAAAAGUUGUACAAAUCAUGACGCUGCACCCCACGGUUUAGGUUCUAGGGGGCGCCAAAGAUAACCCAAAAAUCCACAUUCUUAAAAGUCUUAUAACUUUUUAAUUUUGUCCUCACUGGCCUCCAAGUUUUAUAGGAUGAUGCAAUGUCCAGCCAUCAACACAUUUGUGAAGGAAUUUUUACUCCCCAAAAGAGCGCCCCCAUGGCAGGAGAAAAAAGGCAAUUUUUUCUUGUCCCCUAAGGUGAAAAUACACAUUGUUGAGUGUCACACCUAUACGCUUUGUCAUAUUGACACAAAAUUUGACAAUCACGUGUAUCUCAAUCAGAUCUACGAAAAACUCAAUAGGCACGUAUCUGUAAAAUGUACGGUUAAAGGGCUAUUCCGCAUUUUUUGCCGAUCCGCACACAUUGGAAUGUGGCUAACUCCUCCUAAGGCUUCCGUCCCACUGACACCAAAUUUGCUCAGGCCAAUCUACACCCCAUGGCCAGUCAAAGUUGUAAAAAUCAUGCCGCUGCACCCCAUGGUUUACGUUCUAGGGGGCGCCAAAGAUGACCCAAAUAUCCACAUUCUUAAAAGUCGUUUUGGCCACUGCAGGAGUACAGAGUACUGCAGGAUACACACACACAGACACACACACACACAGACACACACACACACACACGCACACACACACACACACACACACAUACACACUCAGAGUCUGUUUUUUAGCACCUGCAAAAACAUGCUAUUUACAUAUUUGACAACAAUGCAGAGACUUCCUUUUGCCCCUGAAAAAAAUGAAAUUUCAAACACAACUUGACUGCUCAUUUCUCCAAAAGACAUCCAUGAAGCUCCAUCCAAACCUGAAGCAGGCAGUUGGUGCAUGUGUACAGUAACCUGAGGGGAGUGAGGUGACUGCUUCUGAGGAGAACAUGAGCAGUGAAGAUUCACCUUGGAGCUAGAACAGGGACGUGCACAUGAUUAUACAGGGGCAGGGGCUCAAGUUUUUUCCAGUCGUUUAGACAAUAUGGAAAUUAAUGUGAAAUUAAAAAACAAAGUAUUAAUAGAAAGGUAAUGACUGUCCUGUGUAGGUGACAGUGAUAUCCAAUAGGCUAGGCACUCACGAGGCUGGCUGUGGCAAGUGCAAGUGAAAGCCACACGCACUGGCAGGAAGAACGCCGAUGAAGGAAAAGGGUCUUCGCAGUGAUGGGCGUUACCAGAGAGGGCGAUGGCCAGAGGACGCGAAUGGGACGGGGAGGCAGCGCGUUGGGGGGGGGGGGGGGGCGACACAGCUCGGGCCCGCCAGUGCCCCAACGGGGCCCUAGUUUGUUAUUAGGGCCCGAGCGUAGCUGCUAAGCAGCUGCGAGAGCCCUCUUGUUCCUGAUGGAUUCUUCUUUCGUUAUUAGGGCCCGAGCGUAGCUGCUAAGCAGCUGCGAGAGCCCUAUUAUUCCCCAAGUGGUUUUUCUUUGUUUCUUUUUAGGGCCCGAGCGUAGCUGCUAAGCAGCUGCGAGAGCCCUCUUGUUCCUGAUGGAUUCUUCUUUUGUUAUUAUUAGGGCCCGAGCGUAGCUGCUCAGCAGCUGCGAGAGCCCUCUUGUUCCUGAUGGAUUCUUCUUUCGUUAUUUUUCCUCCGCUUUAAACUGGAAAAUGGCCCACUUCCCACUGACGAAAACUCAGGAAAUUUGGCAGGACGACCGGGCCUGGUGAAAAAUUUGAUAUUCUGAAGUCGCCCAAACAAAAAAAUGAAAAAUGGCUCCAUAGCGCCCCCUAUGGUGAAAACUCACCUGACACCUGUACGCUUUGUCAAAAUGACACAAAAUUUGACACACAUGUGUAUCUCAAUAAGAUCUAUGAAAAAGUCAACGGGCACGUAAGUGUAAAAUGUACUGUUAAAGGGCUAUUUUGCAUUUUUUGCCGAUUCGCACACAUUGGAAUUUUGCUAACUCCUCCUAAGGCUUUCGUUCCACCGGCACCACAUUUGCACAGGCCAAUCUACACCCCAUGGCCAUUAAAAGUUGUACAAAUCAUGACGCUGCACCCCACGGUUUAGGUUCUAGGGGGCGCCAAAGAUAACCCAAAAAUCCACAUUCUUAAAAGUCUUAUAACUUUUUAAUUUUGUCCUCACUGGCCUCCAAGUUUUAUAGGAUGAUGCAAUGUCCAGCCAUCAACACAUUUGUGAAGGAAUUUUUACUCCCCAAAAGAGCGCCCCCAUGGCAGGAGAAAAAAGGCAAUUUUUUCUUGUCCCCUAAGGUGAAAAUACACAUUGUUGAGUGUCACACCUAUACGCUUUGUCAUAUUGACACAAAAUUUGACAAUCACGUGUAUCUCAAUCAGAUCUACGAAAAACUCAAUAGGCACGUAUCUGUAAAAUGUACGGUUAAAGGGCUAUUCCGCAUUUUUUGCCGAUCCGCACACAUUGGAAUGUGGCUAACUCCUCCUAGGGCUUUCGUCCCAUUGGCACCAAAUUUGCUCAGGCAAAUCUACACCCCAUGGCCAUUCAAAGUUGUAAAAAUCAUGACGCUGCACCCCACGGUCUACGUUCUAGGGGGCGCCAAAGAUAACCCAAAAAUCCACAUUCUUAAAAGUCUAAUAACCUUUUAUUUUUGUCCUCACUGGCCUCCAAGUUUUCUAGGAUGAUGCAAUGUCCAGCCAUCAACACAUUUGUGAAGGAAUUUUUUCUCCCCAAAAGAGCGCCCCCCCAUGGCAGGAGAAAAAGUCAAGUUUUUCCUGCCCAUCGCUCAAUGGCUCAAACGCAUCGCUCUCCCGGCAAAACCGAAAGGAGGAGCAACUUGCCAUUUGGAUAUAUACUAGCUGUGUUUGUGCCCUCACUCAUGGUCCAGACUAUUUUCAAAAAGGACAUGGAGUUUGUCUGCAGCGAGUGUUUUGGUAGAAACUGCGCCUCCCAUUCAUUAUAAUUGUAAAUGACCACAGACAAGUGCGCACACCAUCUUUGGACCUUGAGUGUGACGCAAUCGGGAGGGGGAGGCGGUCACGCUGGGGGCGGCGCGACACGGCUCGGGCCCGCCAGUGCCCCACCGGGGCCCUAGUUAUUAUUUUUCCUCCGCUUUAAACUGGAAAAUGGCCCACUUCCCACUGGCGAAAACUCAGGAAAUUUGGCAGGACGACCGGGCCUGGUGAAAAAUUCGAUAUUCUGAAGUCGCCCAAACAAUAAAAUGCAAAAUGGCUCCAUAGCGCCCCCUAAGGUGAAAAUUCACACUAUUGACUGUCACGCCUGUACGCUUUGUCAUAUUGACACAAAAAUUGACACACACAUGUAUCUCAAUACGAUCUACAAAAAAGUCAGUGCGGGCGUAUCUGUCAAAUGUACGGUUAAAGGGUUAUUUCGCAUUUUUUGCAGAUCCGCACACAUUGGAAUUUCGCUAACUCCUCCGAAGGCUUUCGUUCCACCGGCACCACAUUUGCUCAGGCCAAUCUACACUCCAUGGCCAUUCAAAGUUGUACAAAUCAUGAUGCUGCACCCCAUGGUUUAGGUUCUAGGGGGCGCCAAAAAUAACCCAAAAAUCCACAUUUUUAAAAGUUUUAUAACUUUUUUUUUUUGUCCUCACUGGCCUCCAAGUUUUCUAGGAUGAUGCAAUGUCCAGCCAUCAACACAUUUGUGAAGGAAUUUUUACUCCCCAAAAGAGCGCCCCCCCAUGGCAGGACAAAAAAGUCCAUUUUUUCUUGUCCACUAAGGUGAAAAUUCACACUAUUGACUGUCACGCCUGUACGCUUUGUCAUAUUGACACAAAAAUUGACACACACAUGUAUCUCAAUAAGAUCUACAAAAAAGUCAGUGCGGGCGUAUCUGUCAAAUGUACGGUUAAAGGGUUAUUUCGCAUUUUUUGCAGAUCCGCACACAUUGGAAUUUCGCUAACUCCUCCGAAGGCUUUCGUUCCACCGGCACCACAUUUGCUCAGGCCAAUCUACACUCCAUGGCCAUUCAAAGUUGUACAAAUCAUGAUGCUGCACCCCAUGGUUUAGGUUCUAGGGGGCGCCAAAAAUAACCCAAAAAUCCACAUUUUUAAAAGUUUUAUAACUUUUUUUUUUUGUCCUCACUGGCCUCCAAGUUUUCUAGGAUGAUGCAAUGUCCAGCCAUCAACACAUUUGUGAAGGAAUUUUUACUCCCCAAAAGAGCGCCCCCCCAUGGCAGGACAAAAAAGUCCAUUUUUUCUUGUCCACUAAGGUGAAAAUUCACACUAUUGACUGUCACGCCUGUACGCUUUGUCAUAUUGACACAAAAAUUGACACACACAUGUAUCUCAAUAAGAUCUACAAAAAAGUCAGUGCGGGCGUAUCUGUCAAAUGUACGGUUAAAGGGUUAUUUCGCAUUUUUUGCAGAUCCCCACACAUUGGAAUUUCGCUAACUCCUCCGAAGGCUUUCGUUCCACCGGCACCACAUUUGCACAGGCCAAUCUACACUCCAUGGCCAUUCAAAGUUGUACAAAUCAUGAUGCUGCACCCCAUGGUUUAGGUUCUAGGGGGCGCCAAAAAUAACCCAAAAAUCCACAUUCUUAAAAGUUUUAUAACUUUUUAUUUUUGUCCUCACUGGCCUCCAAAUUUUCUAGGAUGAUGCAAUGUCCAGCCAUCAACACAUUUGUGAAGGAAUUUUUACUCCCCAAAAGAGCGCCCCCCCAUGGCAGGACAAAAAAGUCCAUUUUUUCUUGUCCCCUAAGGUGAAAAUACACAUUGUUGAGAUUCACGCCUGUACGCUUUGUCAUAUUGACAAAAAAAUUUGACACACACGUGUAUCUCAAUAAGAUCUACGAAAAAGUCAAUGCGCGCGUAUCUGUAAAAUGUACGGCUAAAGGGCUAUUUUGCUUUUUUUGCCCAUUCGCACACAUUGGAAUGUGGCUAACUCCUCCUAAGGCUUUCGUCCCACUGACACCAAAUUUGCUCAGGCCAAUCUACACCCCAUGGCCAUUAAAAGUCGUAAAAAUCAUGCCGCUGCACUCCAUGGUUCACGUUCAAGGGGGCGCCAAAGAGGACCCAAAUAUCCACAUUUUCAAAAGUCUUAUAACUUUUUGUUUUUGUCCUCACUGGCCUCCAAGUUUUCUAGGAUAAUGCAAUGUUCAGCCAUCAACACAUUUGUUAAAGAAUUUUUUCUCCCCAAAAGAGCGCCCCCCCAUGGCAGGAGAAAAAGUUAAGUUUUUCCUGCCCAAUGCCCAAUGGCUCAAACGCAUCGCUCUCUCGGCAAAACCGAAAGGAGGAGCAACUUGCCAUUUGGAUAUAUCGAAGCUGUGUUUGUGCCCUCACUCAUGGUCCAGACUUUUUUCAAAAAGGACAUGGAGUUUGUCUGCAGCGAGCAUUUUGGUAGAAACUGCGCCUCGCAUUCAUUAUAAUGGUAAAUGACCACAGACAAGUGCGCACACCAUCUUUGGACCUUGAGUGUGACGCGAUCGGGAGGGGGAGGGGGUCGCGCUGGGGGCGGCGCGACACGGCUCGGGCCCGCCAGUGCCCCACCGGGGCCCUAGUUAGGGCCCGAGCGUAGCUGCUCAGCAGCUGCGAGAGCCCUCUUGUUCCUGAUGGAUUCUUCUUUCGUUAUUUUUCCUCCGCUUUAAACUGGAAAAUGGCCCACUUCCCACUGACGAAAACUCAGGAAAUUUGGCAGGACGACCGGGCCUGGUGAAAAAUUUGAUAUUCUGAAGUCGCCCAAACAAAAAAAUGAAAAAUGGCUCCAUAGCGCCCCCUAUGGUGAAAACUCACCUGACACCUGUACGCUUUGUCAAAAUGACACAAAAUUUGACACACAUGUGUAUCUCAAUAAGAUCUAUGAAAAAGUCAACGGGCACGUAAGUGUAAAAUGUACUGUUAAAGGGCUAUUUUGUAUUUUUUGCCGAUUCGCACACAUUGGAAUUUUGCUAACUCCUCCUAAGGCUUUCGUUCCACCGGCACCACAUUUGCACAGGCCAAUCUACACCCCAUGGCCAUUAAAAGUUGUACAAAUCAUGACGCUGCACCCCACGGUUUAGGUUCUAGGGGGCGCCAAAGAUAACCCAAAAAUCCACAUUCUUAAAAGUCUUAUAACUUUUUAAUUUUGUCCUCACUGGCCUCCAAGUUUUAUAGGAUGAUGCAAUGUCCAGCCAUCAACACAUUUGUGAAGGAAUUUUUACUCCCCAAAAGAGCGCCCCCAUGGCAGGAGAAAAAAGGCAAUUUUUUCUUGUCCCCUAAGGUGAAAAUACACAUUGUUGAGUGUCACACCUAUACGCUUUGUCAUAUUGACACAAAAUUUGACAAUCACGUGUAUCUCAAUCAGAUCUACGAAAAACUCAAUAGGCACGUAUCUGUAAAAUGUACGGUUAAAGGGCUAUUCCGCAUUUUUUGCCGAUCCGCACACAUUGGAAUGUGGCUAACUCCUCCUAGGGCUUUCGUCCCAUUGGCACCAAAUUUGCUCAGGCAAAUCUACACCCCAUGGCCAUUCAAAGUUGUAAAAAUCAUGACGCUGCACCCCACGGUCUACGUUCUAGGGGGCGCCAAAGAUAACCCAAAAAUCCACAUUCUUAAAAGUCUAAUAACCUUUUAUUUUUGUCCUCACUGGCCUCCAAGUUUUCUAGGAUGAUGCAAUGUCCAGCCAUCAACACAUUUGUGAAGGAAUUUUUUCUCCCCAAAAGAGCGCCCCCCAUGGCAGGAGAAAAAGUCAAGUUUUUCCUGCCCAUCGCUCAAUGGCUCAAACGCAUCGCUCUCCCGGCAAAACCGAAAGGAGGAGCAACUUGCCAUUUGGAUAUAUACUAGCUGUGUUUGUGCCCUCACUCAUGGUCCAGACUAUUUUCAAAAAGGACAUGGAGUUUGUCUGCAGCGAGUGUUUUGGUAGAAACUGCGCCUCCCAUUCAUUAUAAUUGUAAAUGACCACAGACAAGUGCGCACACCAUCUUUGGACCUUGAGUGUGACGCAAUCGGGAGGGGGAGGCGGUCACGCUGGGGGCGGCGCGACACGGCUCGGGCCCGCCAGUGCCCCACCGGGGCCCUAGUUAUUAUUUUUCCUCCGCUUUAAACUGGAAAAUGGCCCACUUCCCACUGGCGAAAACUCAGGAAAUUUGGCAGGACGACCGGGCCUGGUGAAAAAUUCGAUAUUCUGAAGUCGCCCAAACAAUAAAAUGCAAAAUGGCUCCAUAGCGCCCCCUAAGGUGAAAAUUCACACUAUUGACUGUCACGCCUGUACGCUUUGUCAUAUUGACACAAAAAUUGACACACACAUGUAUCUCAAUACGAUCUACAAAAAAGUCAGUGCGGGCGUAUCUGUCAAAUGUACGGUUAAAGGGUUAUUUUGCAUUUUUUGCAGAUCCGCACACAUUGGAAUUUCGCUAACUCCUCCGAAGGCUUUCGUUCCACCGGCACCACAUUUGCUCAGGCCAAUCUACACUCCAUGGCCAUUCAAAGUUGUACAAAUCAUGAUGCUGCACCCCAUGGUUUAGGUUCUAGGGGGCGCCAAAAAUAACCCAAAAAUCCACAUUUUUAAAAGUUUUAUAACUUUUUUUUUUUGUCCUCACUGGCCUCCAAGUUUUCUAGGAUGAUGCAAUGUCCAGCCAUCAACACAUUUGUGAAGGAAUUUUUACUCCCCAAAAGAGCGCCCCCCCAUGGCAGGACAAAAAAGUCCAUUUUUUCUUGUCCACUAAGGUGAAAAUUCACACUAUUGACUGUCACGCCUGUACGCUUUGUCAUAUUGACACAAAAAUUGACACACACAUGUAUCUCAAUAAGAUCUACAAAAAAGUCAGUGCGGGCGUAUCUGUCAAAUGUACGGUUAAAGGGUUAUUUUGCAUUUUUUGCAGAUCUGCACACAUUGGAAUUUCGCUAACUCCUCCGAAGGCUUUCGUUCCACUGGCACCACAUUUGCUCAGGCCAAUCUACACUCCAUGGCCAUUCAAAGUUGUACAAAUCAUGAUGCUGCACCCCAUGGUUUAGGUUCUAGGGGGCGCCAAAAAUAACCCAAAAAUCCACAUUUUUAAAAGUUUUAUAACUUUUUUUUUUUGUCCUCACUGGCCUCCAAGUUUUCUAGGAUGAUGCAAUGUCCAGCCAUCAACACAUUUGUGAAGGAAUUUUUACUCCCCAAAAGAGCGCCCCCCCAUGGCAGGACAAAAAAGUCCAUUUUUUCUUGUCCACUAAGGUGAAAAUUCACACUAUUGACUGUCACGCCUGUACGCUUUGUCAUAUUGACACAAAAAUUGACACACACAUGUAUCUCAAUAAGAUCUACAAAAAAGUCAGUGCGGGCGUAUCUGUCAAAUGUACGGUUAAAGGGUUAUUUUGCAUUUUUUUCAGAUCCGCACACAUUGGAAUUUCGCUAACUCCUCCGAAGGCUUUCGUUCCACCGGCACCACAUUUGCUCAGGCCAAUCUACACUCCAUGGCCAUUCAAAGUUGUACAAAUCAUGAUGCUGCACCCCAUGGUUUAGGUUCUAGGGGGCGCCAAAAAUAACCCAAAAAUCCACAUUCUUAAAAGUUUUAUAACUUUUUAUUUUUGUCCUCACUGGCCUCCAAAUUUUCUAGGAUGAUGCAAUGUCCAGCCAUCAACACAUUUGUGAAGGAAUUUUUACUCCCCAAAAGAGCGCCCCCCCAUGGCAGGACAAAAAAGUCCAUUUUUUCUUGUCCCCUAAGGUGAAAAUACACAUUGUUGAGAUUCACGCCUGUACGCUUUGUCAUAUUGACAAAAAAAUUUGACACACACGUGUAUCUCAAUAAGAUCUACGAAAAAGUCAAUGCGCGCGUAUCUGUAAAAUGUACGGCUAAAGGGCUAUUUUGCUUUUUUUGCCCAUUCGCACACAUUGGAAUGUGGCUAACUCCUCCUAAGGCUUUCGUCCCACUGACACCAAAUUUGCUCAGGCCAAUCUACACCCCAUGGCCAUUAAAAGUCGUAAAAAUCAUGCCGCUGCACUCCACGGUUCACGUUCAAGGGGGCGCCAAAGAGGACCCAAAUAUCCACAUUUUCAAAAGUCUUAUAACUUUUUGUUUUUGUCCUCACUGGCCUCCAAGUUUUCUAGGAUAAUGCAAUGUUCAGCCAUCAACACAUUUGUUAAAGAAUUUUUUCUCCCCAAAAGAGCGCCCCCCCAUGGCAGGAGAAAAAGUUAAGUUUUUCCUGCCCAAUGCCCAAUGGCUCAAACGCAUCGCUCUCUCGGCAAAACCGAAAGGAGGAGCAACUUGCCAUUUGGAUAUAUCGAAGCUGUGUUUGUGCCCUCACUCAUGGUCCAGACUUUUUUCAAAAAGGACAUGGAGUUUGUCUGCAGCGAGCAUUUUGGUAGAAACUGCGCCUCGCAUUCAUUAUAAUGGUAAAUGACCACAGACAAGUGCGCACACCAUCUUUGGACCUUGAGUGUGACGCGAUCGGGAGGGGGAGGGGGUCGCGCUGGGGGCGGCGCAACACGGCUCGGGCCAGUGGCCCACCGGGGCCCUAGUUAGGGCCCGAGCGUAGCUGCUAAGCAGCUGCGAGAGCCCUCUUGUUCCUGCAUGUUUCCUUCUUUCGUUAUUAUUUUUCCUCCGCUUUAAACUGGAAAAUGGCCCACUUCCCACUGGCGAAAACUCAGGAAAUUUGGCAGGACGACCGGGCCUGGUGAAAAAUUCGAUAUUCUGAAGUCGCCCAAACAAUAAAAUGCAAAAUGGCUCCAUAGCGCCCCCUAAGGUGAAAAUUCACAUGACGGCUGUACGCUUUGUCAUAUUGACACAAAAAUUGACACACACAUGUAUCUCAAUAAGAUCUACAAAAAAGUCAGUGCGGGCGUAUCUGUCAAAUGUACGGUUAAUGGGUUAUUUUGCAUUUUUUGCAGAUCUGCACACAUUGGAAUUUCGCUAACUCCUCCGAAGGCUUUCGUUCGACCGGCACCACAUUUGCGCAGGCCAAUCUACACCCCAUGGCCAUUAAAAGUUGUACAAAUCAUGACGCUGCACCCCACGGUUUACGUUCUAGGGGGCGCCAAAGAUAACCCAAAAUCCACAUUCUUAAAAGUCUUAUAACUUUUUAUUUUUGUCCUCACUGCCCUCCAAGUUUUCUAGGAUGAUGCAAUGUCCAGCCAUCAACACAUUUGUGAAGGAAUUUUUACUCCCCAAAAGAGCGCCCCCCCAUGGCAGGAGAAAAAAGUCAAUUUUUUCUUGUCCCCUUACAUGAAAAUACACAUUGUUGAGUGUCACGCCUGAACGCUUUGUCAUAUUGACACAAAAAUUGACAAUCAUGUGUAUCUCAAUUAGAUCUACGAAAAAGUCAAAAAGCGCGUAUCUGUAUAAUGUACGGUUAAAGGGCUAUUUCGCAUUUUAUGCCGAUUCGCACACAUUGGAAUGUGGCUAUCUCCUCCUAAGGCUUUCGUCCCACCGAUACCAAAUUUGCUCAGGGCAAUCUACACCCCAUGCCCAUUCAAAGUUGUAAAAAUCAUGACGCUGCACCCCACGGUUUACGUUCUAGGGGGCGCCAAAGAUGACCCAAAAAUCCACAUUCUUAAAAGUCAUUUUGGCCACUGCAGGAGUACAGAGUACUGCAGUUCUAGGGGGCGCCAAAGAUGACCCAAAAAUCCACAUUCUUAAAAGUCUUUUUGGCCACUGCAGGAGUACAGAGUACUGCAGGAUACACACACAUACACACACACACACACACACACACACACACACACACACACACACACACACACACACUCAGAGUCUGUUUUUUAGCACCUGCAAAAACAUGCUGUUUACAUAUUUGACAAGAAUGCAGAGGCUUCCUUUUGCCCCUGAAAAAAAUCAGAUUUCAAACACAACUUGACUGUUCAUUUCUCCAAAAGACAACCAUGAAGCUCCAUCCAAACCUGAAGCAGAUAGUUGGUGCAUGUGUACAGUAACCUGAGGGGAGUGAGGUGACUAUUUCUGAGGAGAACAUGAGCAGUGAAGAUUCACCUUGGAGCUAGAACAGGGACGUGCACAUGAUUAUACAGGGGCAGGGGCUCAAGUUUUUUCCAGUCAUUUAUACAAUAUGGAAAUUAAUGUGAAAUUAAACCACAAAUAUGUGUGAUGAACUGUUUUUAAAACUUAAACUUCAAAUAAAAAUUGUAAACUUCAAAACAUAUGCAAAUUUUUAACAAAGAACAUAGUAAUUUACCUCUAUUUACAUCAAAAUGCAGGCAAUGGCCCAGGCGUUCUUUGUAAAAUUAUUUACAAAACACUGUAUAGUCUCACAAAUGUCACUUUUUAUUUAUGCCACUACAAAAAAACAUGAUGUAAAUGAUGCAUGAUGUAAAACAUGAUGUAAAAAACUUGUGUAGAUCCUCCUCUAUGUCAGUCCAUGUGUAAUUUUUCCAUAAUUCUUUGUUUUUUGCAGCAUUUUUGUUAGUGUAACUGCAGAUUGUGCUGACAGUCUAUGGCAAAAAAAACAAAAACUGAAAAUGCCUCAACAUGAACCCCUGGUGGUCUCUGAGGGUGAAACCUGCUAACUGCUGCAGCUCUGUCAGCUUCAGUCUCCCAUGCAGAGCUCGGAGCGCAUGUGUGGCUCUGCACCCUUAGCAGCGUUGCUAACUCCUCAGUAAGGAAAGCCUGCUUCAUGUCAGAGUCUCUAAACUCCAGAAGAAGUCGAUAAAAGUCCCUUUCUUUCUAAAAAAAAGUCGUUAGGGGGUCUGAAAAGUAAUUGAAUCUAACAACAAAGUCGCUAGGUUUGCAACUACGUGUCCCAGACUGCAUCCCUGCUGAGAGUCCCUCCCUCCCUUCUCAUGUUGCAGGAAGAACGUAAGCGCCCGCCCCUUGUCAAUCAGUCACCAUAUAAUUUUGGAUUGGUUGUUGUGGUGAAGUUUUCCACCAAUAGGAGAGAUGUUGUGGUGUGUUUUUUUUUUCUUUUGGCAAGCCUUUUCCGCCUGUAAGACCUGUCGCUAAUGUGUGCAUGCUAUGUUUUCCUGUCUCAUACAGCGCGAUCGAGCGCCGAACGUGAUCAAAACAAGCAGAAAAAAAGUAUCGCGGACAUAAUUUAUCAUAACUCUGGUUUUAUUUGGCCUAUCAACACAAUUUAAAAACUGGUAUAUAGGUUGAGGUCCUCACUUUUGAGACCUAACUCUCAGAUGAAUCUUCAAAAUUCACCUCAGAAAUAUGCUUAUUAUUCUUCUCAGAGUACUGCAAGAUACACACACACACACACACAGACACACACGCACACACACACACACACACACACACACACACACACACACACUCAGAGUCUGUUUUUUAGCACCUGCAAAAACAUGCUAUUUACAUAUUUGACAAGAAUGCAGAGGCUUCCCUUUGCCCCUGAAAAAAAUCAAAUUUCAAACACAACUUGACUGGUCAUUUCUCCAAAAGACAACCAUGAAGCUCCAUCUAAACCUGAAGCAGGCAGUUGGUGCAUGUGUACAGUAACCUGAGGGGAGUGAGGUGAGUGCUUCUGAGGAGAACAUGAGCAGUGAAGAUUCACCUUGGAGCUAGAACAGGGACGUGCACAUGAUAAUACAGGGGCAGGGGCUCAAGUUUUUUCCAGUCGUUUAUACAAUAUGGAAAUUAAUGUGAAAUUAAAAAACAAAGUAUGACUGUCCUGUGUAGGUGACAGUGAUAUCCAAUAGGCUAGGCACUCACGAGGCUGGCUGUGGCAAGUGUAAGUGAAAGCAACACGCACUGGCAGGAAGAACCGAUGAAGGAAAAGGGUCUUUGCAGUGAUGGGCGUUACCAGAGAGGGCGAUGGCCAGAGGAAACGAAUGGGACGGGGAGGCAGCGCGUUGGGGGGGGGGGGGGGGGUGACACGGCUCGGGCCCACCAGUGCCCCAACGGGGCCCUAGUUAGGGCCCGAGCGUAGCAGCUGCGAGAGCCCUCUUGUUCCUGAUGGAUUCUUCUUUCGUUAUUUUUCCUCCGCUUUAAACUGGAAAAUGGCCCACUUCCCACUGGCGAAAACUCAGGAAAUUUGGCAGGACGACCGGGCCUGGUGAAAAAUUUGAUAUUCUGAAGUCGUCCAAACAAAAAAAAUGAAAAAUGGCUCCAUAGCGCCCCCUAUGGUGAAAACUCACCUGAUGCCUGUACGCUUUGUCAUUUUGACACAAAAAUUGACACACACGUGUAUCUCAAUACGGUCUACGAAAAAGUCAGUGCGGGCGCAUCUGUCAAAUGUACGGUUAAAGGGCUAUUUCGCUUUUUUUGCCGAUCCGCACACAUUGGAAUUUCGCUAACUCCUCCGAAGGCUUUCGUUCCACCGGCACCAAAUUUGCUCAGGCCAAUCUACACCCCAUGGCCAUUAAAAGUUGUACAAAUCAUGACGCUGCACCCCACGGUUUAGGUUCUAGGGGGCGCCAAAGAUAACCCAAAAAUCCACAUUCUUAAAAGUCUUAUAACUUUUUAUUUUUGUCCUCACUGGCCUCCAAGGUUUCUAGGAUGAUGCAAUGUCCAGCCAUCAACUCAUUUGUGAAGGAAUUUUUACUCCCCAAAAGAGCGCCCCCCCAUGGCAGGAGAAAAAAGUCCAUUUUUUCUUGUCUCCUAAGGUAAAAAUACACAUUGUUGAGUGUCACGCCUAUACACUUUGUCAUAUUGACACACAAUUUGACAAUCACGUGUAUCUCAAUAAGAUCUACAAAAAAGUCAAUAGGCACGUAUCUGUCAAAUGUACGGUUAAAGGGCUAUUUCGCAUUUUUUGCCGAUUCGCACACAUUGGAAUGUGGCUAUCUCCUUCUAAGGCUUUCGUCCCACCGAUACCAAAUUUGCUCAGGCCAAUCUACACCCCAUGGCCAUUCAAAGUUGUAAAAAUCAUGCUGCUGCACCCCACGGUUUAGGUUCUAGGGGGCGCCAAAGAUGACCCAAAUAUCCAUAUUCUUAAAAGUGUUAUAACUUUUUAUUUUUGUCCUCACUGGCCUCCAAGUUUUCUAGGAUGAUGCAAUGUCCAGCCAUCAACACAUUUGUAAAGGAAUUUUUACUCCUGAAAAAGAGCGCCCCCCCAUGGCAGGAGAAAAGAGUCCAUUUUUUCUUGUCCCCUAAGGUGAAAAAACACAUUGUUGACUGUCACGCCUAUACGCUUUGUCAAAAUGACACAAAAUUUGACACACACGUGUAUCUCAAUAAGAUCUACGAAAAAGUCAAUGGGCACGUAUCUGUAAAAUGUACGGUUAAAGGGCUAUUUCGCAUUUUUUGGCGAUUCGCACACAUUGGAAUGUGGCUAACUCCUCCUAGAGCUUUCGUUUAACCGACACCAAAUUUGCUCAGGCCAAUCUACACCCCAUCACUUUUUAUUUUUGUCCUCACUGGCCUCCAAGUUUUCUAGGAUGAUGCAAUGUCCAGCCAUCAACACAUUUGUACAGGAAUUUUUACUCCUUAAAAGAGCGCCCCCCAUGGCAGGAGAAAAAAAUCCAUUUUUUCUUGUCCCAUUAGGUGAAAAUACACACUGUUCAGUGUCACGCCUGUACGCUUUGUCUUAUUGACACAAAAUUUUACAAUCACGUGUAUCUCAAUAAGAUCUACGAAGAAGUCAAUGCGCACGUAUCUGUAAAAUGUACGGUUAAAGGGCUAUUUUGCAUUUUGUGCCGAUUCGCACACAUUGGAAUGCGGCUAACUCCUCCUAAAGCUUUCGUCCCACCGACACCAAAUUUGCUCAGGCCAAUCUACACCCCAUGGCCAUUCAAAGUUGUACAAAUCAUGACGCUGCACCCCACGGUUUAGGUUCUAGGGGGCGCCAAAGAGGACCUAAAUAUCCACAUUUUUAAAAGUCUUAUAACUUUUUAUUUUUGUCCUCACUGGCCUCCAAGUUUUCUAGGAUGAUGCAAUGUCCAGCCAUCAACACAUUUGUGAAGGAAUUUUUACUCCCCAAAAGAGCGCCCCCCCAUGGCAGGAGAAAAAGUCAAGUUUUUCCUGCCCAUCGCUCAAUGGCUCAAACGCAUCGCUCUCUCGGCAAAACCGAAAGGAGGAGCAACUUGCCAUUUGGAUAUAUACUAGCUGUGUUUGUGCCCUCACUCAUGGUCCAGACUUUUUUCAAAAAGGACAUGGAGUUUGUCUGCAGCGAGCGUUUUGGUAGAAACUGCGCCUCCCAUUCAUUAUAAUGGUAAAUGACCACAGACAAGUGCGCACACCAUCUUUGGACCUUGAGUGUGACGCGAUCGGGAGGGGGAGGCGGUCGCGCUGGGGGCGGUGCGACGCGGCUCGGGCCCGACAGUGCCCCACCGGGGCCCUAGUUAGGGACCGAGCCAGCUGCAGAGCAGCCGGGUGUAGAGCCCUAUUAUUCCUGUAUAGGUUUUUCUUUCUUCUUUCUUUCUUUCUUUCUUUCUUUCUUCUUAUUUUUCCUCCCCUUUGAAGGGGAAAAUGGCCCACUUCCCACUGGCGAAAACUCAUGAAAUUUGGCAGGACGACCGGGCCUGGUGAAAAAUUCGAUAUUCUGAAGUCGCCCAAACAAUAAAAUGCAAAAUGGCUCCAUAGCGCCCCCUAAGGCGAAAAUUCACACUAUUGACUGUCACGCCUGUACGCUUUGUCAUUUUGACACAAAAAUUGACACACACGUGUAUCUCAAUACGGUCUACGAAAAAGUCAGUGCGGGCGCAUCUGUCAAAUGUACGG